AUUGAACGCUGGCGGCAUGCUUUACACAUGCAAGUCGAACGGUAACAGGCCUUCGGGUGCUGACGAGUGGCGAACGGGUGAGUAAUGCAUCGGAACGUACCCAGAGGUGGGGGAUAACGCAGCGAAAGCUGUGCUAAUACCGCAUGUGAUCUGAGGAUGAAAGCGGGGGACCGAGCAGCAAUGUUUGGCCUCGCGCCUUUGGAGCGGCCGAUGUCGGAUUAGCUAGUUGGUGGGGUAAAGGCCUACCAAGGCGACGAUCCGUAGCUGGUCUGAGAGGACGACCAGCCACACUGGGACUGAGACACGGCCCAGACUCCUACGGGAGGCAGCAGUGGGGAAUUUUGGACAAUGGGCGCAAGCCUGAUCCAGCAAUGCCGCGUGCGGGAAGAAGGACUUCGGGUUGUAAACCGCUUUUGGCAGGAACGAAACGGUGUCCGCUAAUACCGGGCGCUAAUGACGGUACCUGCAGAAUAAGCACCGGCUAACUACGUG
Molecule: ribosomal RNA, 492 nt
Filed under: uncultured bacterium
Lineage: Bacteria
Description: partial 16S ribosomal RNA
Rfam family: Bacterial small subunit ribosomal RNA
Source: RNAcentral